CCUACGGGAGGCAGCAGUGAGGAAUAUUGGUCAAUGGGCGCGAGACUGAACCAGCCAAGUAGCGUGAAGGAUGACUGCCCUAUGGGUUGUAAACUUCUUUUAUACAGGAAUAAAACGAGGCACGUGUGCCUUUUUGCAUGUACUUUAUGAAUAAGGAUCGGCUAACUCCGUGCCAGCAGCCGCGGUAAUACGGAGGAUCCGAGCGUUAUCCGGAUUUAUUGGGUUUAAAGGGAGCGUAGAUGGGUUGUUAAGUCAGUUGUGAAAGUGUGCGGCUCAACCGUAAAAUUGCAAUUGAUACUGGCAGUCUUGAGUACAGUUGAGGUAGGCGGAAUUCGUGGUGUAGCGGUGAAAUGCUUAGAUAUCACGAAGAACCCCGAUUGCGAAGGCAGCUUACUAAACUGUGACUGACAUUGAUGCUCGAAAGUGUGGGUAUCGAACAGGAUUAGAUACCCCUGUAGUC
This 460-nucleotide ribosomal RNA is filed under the name uncultured bacterium. RNAcentral describes it as "partial 16S ribosomal RNA". It matches the Rfam family "Bacterial small subunit ribosomal RNA", at positions 338 to 795 of the family's 1533-position model. The record is from RNAcentral.